GAUGAAUGCCUUGGCAUCAGCAGGCGAUGAAGGACGUGAUAAGCUGCGAAAAGCAUCGGGGAGCGGCAAAUACGCGUUGAUCCGGUGAUGUCCGAAUGGGGAAACCCGGCCCGAGUCAUAUCGGGCCACCUGAUUGUGAAUUCAUAGCAGUCAGGAGCCAAACCCGGCGAAGUGAAACAUCUCAGUAACCGGAGGAAAAGAAAGCAACCGCGAUUCUCCUAGUAGUGGCGAGCGAACGGGGAACAGCCUAAAACCUGGGUUUCGAUCCAGGGGUCGCGGGACCACAAUGUGGCAUCUGAAUCGGUAGCGGAAUGUCUUGGAAAAUUCAACCAAAGAAGGUGACAGUCCUGUACGCGAAACCGAAACAGAGCCUAGUGAGUUCCCAAGUAAGACAGGUCACGUGAAACCCUGUCUGAAUCCGGAGGGCCCACCCUCCAAGGCUAAAUACUUGCUGAUGACCGAUGU
Molecule: ribosomal RNA, 465 nt
Filed under: uncultured bacterium
Lineage: Bacteria
Description: bacterial LSU rRNA
Rfam family: Bacterial large subunit ribosomal RNA
Source: RNAcentral